GGGUCCAUAGCUCCAAUUGGCUAGAGCACCUGAUUUGCAUUCAGGUUGUUGUCGGUUCGAAUCCGACUGGAUCCA
RNAcentral lists this transfer RNA (75 nucleotides) under Methanobrevibacter sp. RNAcentral describes it as "tRNA-Ala". It matches the Rfam family "tRNA". From Rfam's summary of the family: Transfer RNA (tRNA) molecules are approximately 80 nucleotides in length. Their secondary structure includes four short double-helical elements and three loops (D, anti-codon, and T loops). Further hydrogen bonds mediate the characteristic L-shaped molecular structure. tRNAs have two regions of fundamental functional importance: the anti-codon, which is responsible for specific mRNA codon recognition, and the 3' end, to which the tRNAs corresponding amino acid is attached (by aminoacyl-tRNA synthetases). tRNAs cope with the degeneracy of the genetic code in two manners: having more than one tRNA (with a specific anti-codon) for a particular amino acid; and 'wobble' base-pairing, i.e. permitting non-standard base-pairing at the 3rd anti-codon position. The record is from RNAcentral. Lineage: Archaea; Methanobacteriati; Methanobacteriota; Methanobacteria; Methanobacteriales; Methanobacteriaceae.